Lotus japonicus is the source of this 1787-nucleotide long non-coding RNA. RefSeq lists it as uncharacterized. The record is from RefSeq and is a predicted model, not a curated record. The transcript has 7 exons. NCBI's taxonomy places the organism in Eukaryota, Viridiplantae, Streptophyta, Magnoliopsida, Fabales, Fabaceae.
CCCAAUGUUGUUGCCUUUUCCCCUUCUGUGGAAGUGUUUCAAUGUUUGAUUUCUAUAACGUUUUUUUGGCAUCCGUUUCAAGCUAUGCGACUUCUCGAACACAAUUAUGUAUGUGGUUGAGACUCAAUUUGUGGGUGUGUGUUGCUGCUGGGUUUAUGUUUUGUUUCUUCUAGAUAAGGAGUGCUCCCCCAAGGGAUUUUGGCUUCAGCAUUGGCAUCGUAGAAGGUUUUCGUUCCAGUAUCAAAUUUUUCCCUUCUCAAGUUUCAAUCAAACUCAAUGGGAGUUGAAGUCUAAUAAGAGCUUUUCAGUGUUUCCGUCACUCCUUCGAGAUUUCAGUAUCUUUCUUCUUCUACAUCACACUUGCUCCUCUAUCUCGGCGGCUGUCUUAAGUAACAAAGAAUCUGGAGCUUAUAAUGUCAAGGCACUUGAGCAAGAGAUUAAAGCAAAAUCCAGCGCUUGAAAACAGAUGCUGCAAGAAUAUCGGAUGAUGCAUUAGAAGACAAAUGCGGUGCCCUUGAAAGCAAGGUCCAUCAUUCUUGGUUAAGAAAAUAAAUCAAAUUUUCUUGGGAUUGUCAAUGGAACAAGAAAGAAGUUGAAUGAAAUAAGAGAGUAGCUGCCCUUGAAAGAAAGGUGGUGAUUGGCGCAAGAAAGAAGCUGAAUGAAAGAAGAGAGAAUCUGCAUUGCAUCUUGAAGUUAAGAACCUCACAGAGGUAUCCUUUAUAUUUUCUGUGAAGGAUGCCUGACAUUUGAUUGUAGAAAAUCUAUAGUUUUCCAAAAUUAGAACUAGAUUCAACUCUGGUGAUCCACUCCCUUCUUCGUUUCAAUGAUGAAUAUGAUGAUGUCCUAGCUGCAUCCUACCUUUCGGGUUUUGAGGGUCCAAGAUUUAAUCUUCAAUUGUUUCAUCAACAUUGUGAAAUUGUUUUAUCCUUUGACAUCAAUUCUUUUUAUUUCCUGUUGAACCUUGCCUUAUGUCUGUUUCUCACUGGAGUAGAUGGGUAGGAUCAGCGGAGGAGUGUAACGGAACCUUCUCAGAAUGGAAGAUGAUGCAGCAAAAGAGAGAGCUGUAGAAAGUAUAGUUUGACCUGCAAGUUUGAUGUUUGGUUUGAUUUAAGUUGUCACUUUGAAGUUAGAUCUGACUCUGAGUGAUCUGACAAUACCAUUCAGAAUAGAACUGUUAGACAUACAAAGUGGUUCCCCCCACCUUAUCACCAAUCUCAUUAUCAUCAGGAACUUCUUUCUGCCUUGGUACCAAGAGAAUCAAGACAUCUUUCUUAGAGCACAAUAGAAUUUUGUAGUUCAAACACUGUAUUAUCACUAGCAUUAUGUGAAAUUUCCAUAGUACUAUAUUGUCAUUAAGAUAACAUGAUUCUUUACCGACUAAUUUCUUAGUAGAAUAAUUAUGACUCAUGAGCCAUUCCUUCAUUCCUUCAUCUGUUUCUUCUCUUCUAUGGCCUGAGAAAUAAUCAAGGGAUGGCUUGGAAAAGAACGGCAAAUUGAUUUGAUUCUUAUUCUGCUGCUAUACUUCAUUAGACUCAUCCCAUAAACUCAACAACAACUCACGUAGGAACCAUGCAAAACUUAUAGAAAGAAAAGGGCAAUUUGAGGCUUUCGUGCAUGCAUGGAAGUGCCAGAUUUGUUUAAUUGGUUGUUUUUAUGAAGAAAUUAAAGGUCAUCGAAAGAGUGCAGAGGAACAGCCAUACACGGGUUGUGCUUCUCUCAAGUCUUUUCCUUUAAUUUUCUUUGGAUCUGCUUAUCUCAUUGGGUUAAUUUUCAUUAGUGAUCUAUCA